GAAANCCCUUAUUUUUAUAGAUGAUCAAUGAGAAACUGACUAUUGUGUUUCUAAGAGUUUGCUUUAGGGUAAAUACUAAUUCAUUAAAAACACUUCCAAAAUAUUAAUUCAUUUUCCUUACAUUGUCGAAAUAGAAAACUCAAAAGGUCAUCAUGUUCAUGACUUGGGAUAUUCUAUUCUCAAUGCUAAGGUAUUUAUGGCAUUCAAAAUUUAAGCUAAAAAUUGGCUUUUGAUGUAUUCAGAAUCUUUAAUCUGGAGCUUUUAGCUAUUACUCGGAUUUUUUUGUUUAGCAAACUUAUAAGAGUUUCGAGUUUAUUUCCCUGACAUUUUACUACCAUUUGAUGUAGGAUUGGAAGAGGAAGUGGACAAGUUGUGAAUAGUGAUAAAGGGGUGGUUUACACUCACAAGGACCUACCUUUGCAGGGUUGAGCCUGCACAACCCAAGUAUUAUGCAUUGGUUUUGUAUGACACUAGCAUUUGAUGAAGCCGUCUGGUCUAAUUAAUUGUCUGCAAAUUAAAAGUCUGGGAAUGGAUCAAUGGAUCGGUGGUUUUGGUUUCAAUCAGAGAUUCAAUAUCAAAUUUCAUUCCCACCCAAUGUACUAUGUAAUAGGGCAGUUGGGCAUUUCAUUGGCAUCUCAAAUUUUGAGGAUUCUGAUUAAAUCUCUUUGGAGGGAAUGACCUUAAUAAUUUUUCACUUAUAAGCCUCUUCUUUAUUUUGCUUACGACUGCUAGCUUGAUAUGCUCGAUUGCUUGGCACGAGUGACAUUGUUUUAAAGUGGUUUGACAUUCAAGAUAAAUUUACAUGUUAAACGUUGACACUGCUUGACAUGGCGUCAAGAUAUCCUAUAAUUUUUCCAAGCACAACAAAAGUUUUAGUAUUUUCUUGAAGUAUGUUAACCGUUUAUACGAAGUUUCGGUUCUAUUAUUUUGAUGGUCAUGAAUGAAGACGUCUUCUACUGGGGCAUCUUCGUCUUUUGCUUCUUUGGUGACAUCUUGUCUAUGGACGAUGAAGG
This 1013-nucleotide long non-coding RNA is filed under the name Olea europaea subsp. europaea. Lineage: Eukaryota; Viridiplantae; Streptophyta; Magnoliopsida; Lamiales; Oleaceae. The record is from RNAcentral.